UGUCAAGGCCAAAUCUAGUUAAGCAAAACUGGGCCAGGUUAGUACUUGGAUGGUAGACCGCUGGGAAUACCAGGUGCCACAG
This 82-nucleotide ribosomal RNA is filed under the name Periophthalmus magnuspinnatus. The record is from RNAcentral. Lineage: Eukaryota; Metazoa; Chordata; Actinopteri; Gobiiformes; Gobiidae.